UCUGAAGCUUAAGUUCUUCGGUGACAUAAUUAUCCCACCAAUACCUAAGCAUUCCGGUAAAGCCAGCAGUGAUCAUAGCAGCUGCUUCUUUAUCGGAGGAAUUGCGCAGCUUAUAGCUGGUAAUGCAAACACCCAUUUCGUGAAGGACACGAUAGAUUUGAUGUUCGGCUAACCCAUCAAUAUUCCAUUCUACAAUGCCCCUACCAUCAUGAGAUGAUUG
RNAcentral lists this long non-coding RNA (220 nucleotides) under Nicotiana benthamiana. RNAcentral's name for it is "long non-coding RNA (NBEN_LNC005767)". The record is from RNAcentral. Lineage: Eukaryota; Viridiplantae; Streptophyta; Magnoliopsida; Solanales; Solanaceae.